GAUGGAGCAGUAAAACCGGUAGAUAUUGACACAAUCCAGGAGCAAUUAAAGGUAUCAGCUGGAGAACCACCCACUAUUUAAGCCCCAACACAGAGACAAGAUUACGCUCUGAUGUUAUCAAGAUGCAGUGUCUGGAGCUGCUCCACUGAAAUUAAAUGGGAGUUUCCUAGCACCCUGUACCCGGCCAGGUUUUGCAAAUUUAUGCCAACCCUAUGCCGUGCGGGCUUGAAGAGCUGCAGUGCAGUGGCCGUGAACUGUAGGUGUGACAUGGCAGAUGGAAGGAGCAGUGGGAGACUAGGUGAAUCUUCCAGUCCUACGGAUGAAAACCAGCAGCUGGCAGUGGAAGUGUAAUGGCCUGGUGGUGGACUGUGUACUAAUGGCAAGACGGAAGAAACAAGGAAUCAAACAACAAUUGAAACUACAAUGCAAGGAUUUAGAACUUUUGUAUGAAAAUGUAGGUAGUGAAUGUUUCCUACAGCACCUCUGGGAAUUUAAUCUUCACAUCAGCACUGUCUGCUGAUGCAACAACCACUGAUGCAGAAACCUCCUGCUUGGUAUUUCUCUCGUGCUGCUGGUAGAAGCCAAGAAGGAAAGCAAUGCCUGGGAUGUAUCUUUCAAUUCUGGGAAAUGUUAAAAAAAAAAACUCUUUAAGCAGUAUGCACCAGUAUGUGUCAUUGUAAACACAGAAAAUGUUUCCACUAUGCUCCAUUUAGCAAAUUUCUGGGAUCCUGGUCCAGUGUGCUUUGGCCUCAAGUACUGGUUUGGAACCAGGCAGAUGUGCAGUUGCAGCUUUCAGUGACAUUGCAUAUGACUGACAUUCAGCUCCCCAUCUGAGCUGUGCCUAGACCAAGCACAGGAGCCCAAGAGAAUCAACCACCCCAACCAACCACUCUCCCACAUCUUUAAUUGCAAGACAAUUAAUGAUUAUGCUGCAAAAUGUGUGUUCACAGCGGUGUUGAUGCACAUCUUCCAGUUGGUAGCUUCUCCAACAUGAGACACAAUCACAUGGGCUUU
Long non-coding RNA from Monopterus albus (swamp eel), 1014 nucleotides. RefSeq lists it as uncharacterized. The transcript has 6 exons. The record is from RefSeq and is a predicted model, not a curated record. Lineage: Eukaryota; Metazoa; Chordata; Actinopteri; Synbranchiformes; Synbranchidae.